RNAcentral lists this ribosomal RNA (425 nucleotides) under uncultured bacterium. RNAcentral's name for it is "partial 16S ribosomal RNA". It matches the Rfam family "Bacterial small subunit ribosomal RNA", at positions 354 to 796 of the family's 1533-position model. The record is from RNAcentral.
GUGGGGAAUAUUGGACAAUGGGCGCAAGCCUGAUCCAGCCAUGCCGCGUGAGUGAUGAAGGCCUUAGGGUUGUAAAGCUCUUUCAGUGGGGAAGAUAAUGACGGUACCCACAGAAGAAGCCCCGGCUAACUUCGUGCCAGCAGCCGCGGUAAUACGAAGGGGGCUAGCGUUGUUCGGAUUUACUGGGCGUAAAGCGCACGUAGGCGGAUCGUUAAGUCGGGGGUGAAAUCCCGGGGCUCAACCCCGGAACUGCCUUCGAUACUGGCGAUCUUGAGUCCGGAAGAGGUGAGUGGAACUCCUAGUGUAGAGGUGGAAUUCGUAGAUAUUAGGAAGAACACCAGUGGCGAAGGCGGCUCACUGGUCCGGUACUGACGCUGAGGUGCGAAAGCGUGGGGAGCAAACAGGAUUAGAAACCCCGGUAGUCC